UACCAGCUCUCCGAGUGGUGUGGAUGUUUAUUGGGCCUAAAGCAUCCGUAGCUGGCUGGGCAAGUCCCCUGUUAAAUCCACCGACUCAAUCGUUGGAGUGCGGGGGAUACUGCUCGGCUAGGGGACGGGAGAGGCCGACGGUAUUUUCGGGGUAGGGGUGAAAUCCUAUAAUCCCGGAAAGACCACCAGUGGCGAAGGCUGACGGCUAGAACGCGCCCGACGGUGUGGGAUGAAAGCUGGGGGAGCGAACCGGAUUAGAUACCCGGGUAGUCCCAGCUGUAAACGAUGCAGGCUAGGUGUUUGGGCGGCCACGUGCCGCUCUAGUGCCGCAGGGAAGUCGUUAAGCCUGCCGCCUGGGGAGUACGGCCGCAAGGCUGAAACUUAAAGGAAUUGGCGGGGGAGCACCACAAGGGGUGAAGCUUGCGGUUU
RNAcentral lists this ribosomal RNA (429 nucleotides) under uncultured archaeon. RNAcentral describes it as "bacterial SSU rRNA". It matches the Rfam family "Archaeal small subunit ribosomal RNA", at positions 474 to 903 of the family's 1478-position model. The record is from RNAcentral.